UUAGAGUUUGAUCAUGGCUCAGAUUGAACGCUGGCGGCAUGCUUUACACAUGCAAGUCGAACGGCAGCGCGGGGCAACCCUGCGGCGAGCGGCGAACGGGUGAGUAAUACAUCGGAACGUACCCAGUAAUGGGGGAUAACACAGCGAAAGUUGUGCUAAUACCGCAUACGCCCUGAGGGGGAAAGCGGGGGAUCGCAAGACCUCGCGUUAUUGGGGCGGCCGAUGUCAGAUUAGCUAGUUGGUGAGGUAAAGGCUCACCAAGGCGACGAUCUGUAGCGGGUCUGAGAGGACGGCCCGCCACACUGGGACUGAGACACGGCCCAGACUCCUACGGGAGGCAGCAGUGGGGAAUUUUGGACAAUGGGGGCAACCCUGAUCCAGCCAUUCCGCGUGAGUGAAGAAGGCCUUCGGGUUGUAAAGCUCUUUCGGCAGGAACGAAACGGUCGUNGCUAAUACCGAUGGCUAAUGACAGUA
This 474-nucleotide ribosomal RNA is filed under the name bacterium ROME1137sa. RNAcentral's name for it is "bacterial SSU rRNA". It matches the Rfam family "Bacterial small subunit ribosomal RNA", at positions 1 to 477 of the family's 1533-position model. The record is from RNAcentral.